GUUUUUAGAAAGAAACACCAAAAACCGAAAUCUGGCAAAUACAUACCUUUGGAGAUUGACAAAAAGGUAACACGUGAUGUGGUGCAAGAACAUCGGGCCGCACUCAGAAGGAUUUGCUUUCCCAAGGAGCUUUCCAAAAGCGAGCAUCUUCAGGAACCCCCACAACGAAUCUCCUUCAAGGAACCACACAUUUUUAGUAGAAGAGAAAGAUGCAGGCCCAUAGAUCUAAUUACAAAAGGACUCAGCCAGACUUGGACAGAGGACAGGAAGACCUAUCUGCAGAUAAGAGCCACCCACUACUGGUCUCAUCUCCCCUGAGGGCUGCAGAGACAUUGAUGUUGGGAUGACCUGCCUGUGGAGAGGAAUCUGCGGAGCUGAGAGGUGAGCAAAUGUCUGGCCGACCUGCCUGCAGAAAGAAGCUACCCACUUCGGGUCUCCUGAGAGCUGUACUGUUGCUCAAUAAAGCAC
RNAcentral lists this long non-coding RNA (468 nucleotides) under Homo sapiens (human). RNAcentral's name for it is "non-protein coding lnc-IQCM-2:7". The record is from RNAcentral. Lineage: Eukaryota; Metazoa; Chordata; Mammalia; Primates; Hominidae.